This 78-nucleotide transfer RNA is filed under the name Klebsiella pneumoniae. RNAcentral describes it as "tRNA-Pro". It matches the Rfam family "tRNA". From Rfam's summary of the family: Transfer RNA (tRNA) molecules are approximately 80 nucleotides in length. Their secondary structure includes four short double-helical elements and three loops (D, anti-codon, and T loops). Lineage: Bacteria; Pseudomonadati; Pseudomonadota; Gammaproteobacteria; Enterobacterales; Enterobacteriaceae. The record is from RNAcentral.
CGGCACGUAGCGCAGCCCCGGUAGCGCACCGUCAUGGGGUGUCGGGGGUCGGAGGUUCAAAUCCUCUCGUGCCGACCA